UCGAGAAUCUUCCGCAAUGGACGAAAGUCUGACGGAGCGACGCCGCGUGAAGGAUGAAGGCCUUCGGGUUGUAAACUUCUGUCAAGCGUUAGGAAUAAACGACGUUCAAUAAACGUCGCGAUGACAAAGGCGCUAGAGGAAGCCACGGCUAAAUAUGUGCCAGCAGCCGCGGUAAUACAUAUGUGGCGAGCGUUGUUCGGAAUUACUGGGCAUAAAGAGUUCGUAGGCGGUCCUGUAAGUCGGGUGUGAAAUCCCUCAGCUUACCUGAGGAAUGGCAUUCGAUACUGCAGGACUGGGGUCCCUGAGGGGAAAGUGGAAUUCCAGGUGUAGCGGUGAAAUGCGUAGAUAUCUGGGAGAAGGCCAAUGGCGAAGGCAGCUUUCUGGUGGGUGACCGACGCUGAGGAACGAAAGUCAGGGGAGCAAACGGG
This 428-nucleotide ribosomal RNA is filed under the name uncultured bacterium. RNAcentral's name for it is "bacterial SSU rRNA". It matches the Rfam family "Bacterial small subunit ribosomal RNA", at positions 355 to 776 of the family's 1533-position model. The record is from RNAcentral.